GUCAAAAUGUCCUUCCUGCUGAAACAGGAAGUGUGGUCAUAGUGUAAACAUGAAGCGGUAAGGGAGGAUUGAAAGGUGUUAUUUUAUGUUUUAAUGAAACUACUUGCAUAUUAAACUAUGCCCACAUUCUGGCAUGGAAAGACUUAUUGCUUCAGUGGCAUAUGAUAGGGUUACCAUAUUUUAGUUUUCCAAAAAGAGGACAGUAGGGGGCGGGGACAAGGGCUGGGCUUCGCCUAGCAGUAUACAUAGCAAGUUUUUUUUUUGGUAUUCUCUCUCUAUACAUUAAAAUAAAACUACUAUAAAAAGUACAAACCAUUAAUUUUUGUUGUAAGUGGGCAAACUUACAAAAUCAGCAGGGGGUCAAAUAAAUAUUUUCCCCACUGUACCUCCAUUACACAUUAUCAAAUAGAUUUGUUAUAGAUGUGUUGCAAAGAAGAAAUGCUUUGCUCCAGCAGCAGUAGACAAGCCUUUUGUGGAACAGGCAACUGGUGUAAGGAGUCUGUCCCAGAUCCAGACUUUGCAGGACGGGGAUCAGGAACUGUCUGCUUUGAAAUGUUGCUGAUAUUUCAGAGCAUUUGUCACUGAUAUCCAGUAUAAAUCACCAAGCCCUAAAACAGACCAAUCACAAACUCACACAGUCCAUGUCUCCAGCACAAACAAAGACCAACACAUAUGCACAGAACCAAGCCCUGUGUCUGCCACUGUCUACCAACCUCAGUCUCGAGAAAAAAAAGUGUUAUACCUAUGAAAGUGACAUUAAGCCAGUCCAUUGGCACACUAAGUGCAGCUUCGGCCCAAGGCUAUGUGGGUCUGUUACUGUAAGUGGAAGGAUAGAGGAAAUUUCAGAUGAAGAGAUAAAGAACAAUCCAGAGACUGAAGAGGGUGUACGGAAUAUUCCACGAUUUAAGAACUACCAGAGAGGAGUGCCAUCUAAUGUAAAUGUCACCAUUUCUCCAUUACUGAAUACAAGAUGUCAAAACCACUUGGUAGACAUCAUGUCCUGAGUCAUGAUUGUACAGUAUGUCUAAAAAAAUACUAAACCAUUUAUUAUUCUAAAAGACAUUCCAGGAUGAUUCUACAAUCGCCAGCAGCAGCACAGCAAGACUGUAAACUAGUUCUGCUGUUUGCUUGUCUGUACUUGUCUGCAUUAAUGAAAGACAGUAAAUCCAUGACACUAUCAUGAUUUGCAAAUACAAUUUAAGUGAUACGUUUUAAUUUAAUUUUUGGCACUUCAUUGCACUCCUGUGUUCAAGAUGUACAGUAAACAAUCAGCUGAAAAUUAACAUGUCUGGUGUUUGCUUGUUUACCUCUGCUUUCCUGAAAUAUAUACAAGGUUGUGCUCAAAGUCAAUGAACCCUACAUGUACAGGACUCACCAAUUACAUUUCAGUGUGAUAUCUUUCCAACUUAGUUACACAUUAAAAUGAAGUUAAAAUCAAUACAGUUGAGUUUCAGCUGGAGUGCUUCAAGUGCUUACACACAGCAUAUUGCUUUGAAUGUGGUUGCCAGCACAGACAUUUUGGGAUUCUUAGUGAAACAAAAAAUGACUCAUUUGUUGUGUGUCUUUGUGUGUCUUUCAUUAGAACAACAAAUGUUUGAGUAGGAGUAGCAGGGGAUCCAAACACAUCCUUCUACAUUUUUACCAUAAAAUAUACAGAUGCUUGGAUAAUUACCCAGAUCAUCACAUAUUUAUGAUGGUGCUUCCCAGGGAGAGAGGAAGACUGUGUUUUUAGCUGCUAGCCUUUCUGAGAUGUUUACUAUGUCUGCAGUGUAGAACAAAAAUAGAAGAGCUUUAUGAAAAGAGUUUGGGGCCAAAGACUAAUAAACAACCUUUAUUAGCCUAAACCUAAAUCUUC
Molecule: long non-coding RNA, 1855 nt
Organism: Cyprinus carpio (common carp)
Lineage: Eukaryota; Metazoa; Chordata; Actinopteri; Cypriniformes; Cyprinidae
Source: Ensembl